CAGUCGCCGCGGUAAUACAGAGGGUGCGAGCGUUAAUCGGAUUUACUGGGCGUAAAGCGUGCGUAGGCGGCUUCUUAAGUCGGAUGUGAAAUCCCUGAGCUUAACUUAGGAAUUGCAUUCGAUACUGGGAAGCUAGAGUAUGGGAGAGGAUGGUAGAAUUCCAGGUGUAGCGGUGAAAUGCGUAGAGAUCUGGAGGAAUACCGAUGGCGAAGGCAGCCAUCUGGCCUAAUACUGACGCUGAGGUACGAAAGCAUGGGGAGCAAACAGGAUUAGAUACCCCGUAGUCCCUGUCUCUUAUACA
RNAcentral lists this ribosomal RNA (301 nucleotides) under uncultured bacterium. RNAcentral describes it as "partial 16S ribosomal RNA". It matches the Rfam family "Bacterial small subunit ribosomal RNA", at positions 509 to 808 of the family's 1533-position model. The record is from RNAcentral.